GGGGAAAUGUGGGGGAGAAAGGGUUAAAAAUGGAGUAAAUAGGGUUUUGGGGUUACUGGUUUGUAUUGGUUUGUACUGGUUUAUACUGGUUUGUACUGGGAGGGACUGGGAGGGGGGAAAGGGAGAAAAAACUAGGGGAAAAUGGCGAAAAUUGGGCGAAAAACGGACGAAAAAUGGGGGAAAUGUGGCGGAGAAAGUGUUAAAAAUGGGGUAAAGAGGGAUUUGGUUUUACUGGUUUAUACUGGUUUUUACUGGUUUAUACUGGGAGGGACUGGGAGGGGGAUAGGGGUGAAAAAUGGAGGGGAAACGGUAAAAAUUGGGCAGAAAAUGGGGGAAAUUUGGGUUCGAAAGGGAUAAAAAUGGAUUUAAAGGGGGGUUGGGAUUACUGGUUUGUACUGGUUUGUACUGGUUUGUACUGGUUUAUACUGGGAGGGACUGGGAGGGAUUUGGGGGCACUGGGAGUGGGUUUAGGGGGGUUUUGAGCCACUGAAAUGGUCAAAAACGGGGAAAAUUGGGAAAAAUUGAUGGUUUAUGGUGGUUUAUCCUGGUUUGUACUGGUCCGUACUGGUCCAUACUGGUUUAUACUGGUUUGUACUGGUUUAUACUGGGAGGGAUUGGGAGGCACUGGGAGGGGAUUUAGGGGGGUUUUGAGGCGCUGAAAUGGUCAAAAACGGGGGAAAAUUGGGAAAAAUGGAUGGUUUAUGGUGGUUUAUCCUGGUCUGUACUGGUCCAUACUGGUCCGUACUGGUCCAUACUGGUUUGUACUGGUUUGUACUGGCGCAGGAACUUCCACGUGUGGAACGACUGCUGGAUGAAGCGGCCGGACCUGCCCGAGGGCUACGACGGCUGGCAGGUGGUGGAUGCCACGCCCCAGGAGACCAGCAGCGGUGCGGGCAUGCUGGGCAUACUGGGCAUACUGGGGAUACUGGUUUAUACUGGUUUGGACUGGGGUAUACUGGUUUGUACUGGGGAUACUGGGGAUACUGGUUUAUACUGGGUUAUACUGGGUUAUACUGGGGAUACUGGGGAUACUGGGGAUACUGGGGUAUACUGGGGUAUACUGGGGAUACUGGGGAUACUGGGGAUACUGGGGAUACUGGUUAUACUGGGCAUACUGGGCAU
Molecule: long non-coding RNA, 1122 nt
Filed under: Chloebia gouldiae (Gouldian finch)
Lineage: Eukaryota; Metazoa; Chordata; Aves; Passeriformes; Passeridae
Description: Erythrura gouldiae (Gouldian finch) lncRNA (ENSEGOG00005018533.1)
Source: RNAcentral